CCCCAGCACACUGGCGACCCGGGCCAUUUUGCAGUUUCUCAUCCCGGGCCGCGCCGGGCUCGGGGAACGCGGGGAACGCGGUGCACGGAGCGGCCGGCCGCUCGCCGGCGUGUCAGCGCGGGUCUGACUACCUGGUGUUCUGUGUUUGGGAAACAGCACAGCAGAACACUGGUCGGUUUGAUGUGUUGUAUCAGAGGCAGGAGACAAAGAGUGAGUACAGAGAAGCCAACAGGCCUGGCACACAGCCCAGGAAUGGAAGUCGUGUGGAAAUCUGACCCCCGGGAGGAAGGAAGGAGUGUCUAAGGCAGAAAAAGAAACAGGGUAAAGGACACUGAGAAGCAAAGGCAAUGAUGG
Molecule: long non-coding RNA, 354 nt
Organism: Sorex fumeus (smoky shrew)
Lineage: Eukaryota; Metazoa; Chordata; Mammalia; Eulipotyphla; Soricidae
Exons: 3
Source: RefSeq, a predicted model, not a curated record